ACUCAAAUGAAUUGACGGGGGCUCACACAAGCGGUGGAGGAUGUGGCUUAAUUCGAGGCUACGCGAAGAACCUUAUCCUAGUCUUGACAUGGCAUGUUCAGUCGGUGAAAGCCGAUGGCCCGCAAGGGCGAAUGCCACAGGUGCUGCAUGGCUGUCGUCAGCUCGUGCUGUGAAGUGUCGGGUUAAGUCCCUUAACGAGCGAAACCCUUGUCACUAGUUGCCAGCGGAUCAUGCCGGGGACUCUAGUGAGACCGCCGGCGUUAAGCCGGAGGAAGGCGGGGAUGACGUCAAGUCCUCAUGGCCUUUAUGUCUAGGGCUGCACACGUCCUACAAUGGCGCGCACAAAGGGACGCGAACUCGCGAGAGCAAGCAAAUCCCAAAAAACGCGCCCCAGUUCGGAUUGCAGGCUGCAACUCGCCUGCAUGAAGCCGGAAUCGCUAGUAAUCGCGGGUCAGCAUACCGCGGUGAAUGUGUUCCUGAGCCUUGUACACACCGCCCGU
This 500-nucleotide ribosomal RNA is filed under the name uncultured bacterium. RNAcentral's name for it is "partial 16S ribosomal RNA". It matches the Rfam family "Bacterial small subunit ribosomal RNA", at positions 899 to 1397 of the family's 1533-position model. The record is from RNAcentral.